GGGAUGCCUGAUAAAUCAACUUCC
This 24-nucleotide non-coding RNA is filed under the name Arabidopsis thaliana (thale cress). Lineage: Eukaryota; Viridiplantae; Streptophyta; Magnoliopsida; Brassicales; Brassicaceae. The record is from RNAcentral.